Beta vulgaris subsp. vulgaris (sugar beet) is the source of this 1547-nucleotide RNA transcript. RefSeq lists it as uncharacterized. The record is from RefSeq and is a predicted model, not a curated record. NCBI's taxonomy places the organism in Eukaryota, Viridiplantae, Streptophyta, Magnoliopsida, Caryophyllales, Amaranthaceae. The transcript is spliced from 3 exons.
GUGUGUUAUCUUUGCUAUGAAAUUAGUUUAUAGUGUUUUAUUCUAUUCUUUUAUGGGAAAUCUCAAAACAGAAAUCCCGCCCAUUUUCCUUUUUGACGGUUUAGAUGAAAACCUCAAUACCUUCAAUUUCUUUCUCGUGUCUUCUAAACCCAUAAAUUCCUAAAACCUCAUUUCACUCUCUCUCCUCCCCGUGAAGAAACCCCAAAGAGGAAACCUAAAAACCCCAAAUCCCUAAUCUCUCUCUCUCGUCCCCUGCUUUCUGCCUAGCCGGAAUCCGGUUGUUUCCUCGCCGGUGAUGCGUGUAGUCUUGGUGUUGUUCUUGUCGAAGUUGUUGUUGUCGCUGCCGAAACUUUCCUCCCCCGCUUGCGUCCCCCUAACUCUCCUCUCGUUGCUGCUGCCGUUGUGCGCUGCCGUGGCUUUGGUUUUUACCGCUGCUAUUAAUGCGCCCUUGCUGGUGGUGGUGCCACCAUUGUGUGAUGUUGUCGUUGUAGUGUUUGGUGCUGCUGCCAUUCUUUUUCUCCCCUUAUCGCUCUAUCUCCUAGUAAACAUGGAAUUGUGGGGGGAUCUUUUGAUUGAUGUGUAUGCAUCUCCGGUUCCCUUCCUCCUUCGGUUCUCACCUUCUUCAAUUCAUUCUAGCAGACUUCGUGGAACAUUAAAAUUCGCCAUUGUAACCGAUAACCAUAUUCGCCAUUUUUACCGGCAAUUUGAGGUAAUUGUUAAUUUUCAGGCCCUUGUGUAUUCCUAAUACAUAAAGAAACUGAUUUUCGUGCCUUUAUUGUUCAAAUUUUGUUAAUUUAAUUAAUUUUUUGGUUUCUUGAAUUGGUAAUAUACUAUAUUGAUUUUCUGAAAUUCCUGAAAUUGGGUGUUUAAUGAGUUAGCAUAGCACUUGUGGUUGCCGCCAUAGACACUACUUGUAGUUAGUAGCUAUUUAGUAUAUUGAGAGUUGCACUACUGUUGUUUUUCGAUACCUAUUUUCAGGUGCAAAUGGGUUGAUAAUAAUACUGGAGUUCAACAUGAUGAUCUAGGUUUCUCCUUAGUUAAUCUUGAAAAAGCUCGGCCACAAGGAUGAUCCAUACAUCUUAGCCAGCAAAGCAAAGCAAGUGUUUUAUGUAACUGAUCCACCUGAUAAGAGAAAAUCGAUAGUUCUAAAAUCGAGGUCUCGCUAUAACAUUGAUGACUAUGAUAAUGGUGAUGAGUUGGAGGAAAGUCUAUCUAGCUAGGAAGUACUAUCAUGGCAUUGGUCGAACCUAUUCUCAGGAGAAAAUUGAUGAUGAACUCAAGUGGAUUACAUAUGUCGGAGAUUAACAAGAAGCACAAAUUAUGAAUGAAUUUUAACUUCCCGCCUAAUUUUUUUUACCUUAAUCCAUCUUUGGACGUACAUUAUAUUUUUGUUAUUUGGAUAUUAAUAUCAUGUGGAUGUGGCUAGUCUAGAUUUGAUUGUUUAUGAUUUAGAUUAAUAUUGAUAUGUAUAUAUAGUAGGUUUUGGAAGUUUAGAAUUGUGAAUAUUGGUUGAAUUCUUUUGUGAAAUAAAAACUUUUGGGAUUCAA